GGGGAGUUAAUAUAUUCCUUAAACACUUUCUUAUUCUUCUUUGCAACAAAUAUGUACAUAAAAGCAAGAGAAGGUCUUCUAUGUUAUGCAGCAAUGUCAUAUUCUGGUGUUUUCUGCAAAAAUAAUAAUGAUAAUAAUAAAAUAAAAAAAAUGAAAAAGAGGGAGAGAGAGGAUGAGAGUUAUAAUCACAAAAAUUGUUCAGAUGUAAUCAAAAAAUCAGAAAAGAUCAUUUUACAGUUCAGAGUAUUUAUUCUAUUACAUUGCAGUAAAGAGAUUGACAUCCUCAACUCAAAUUCCUCUUUGCUUUCUUUUCUUUUGUACUUUUUUUUUUCCUUAGUUUAAACAUGAGUUAUUUGGAAAUUCUAGUUUUUCUCCUAAACUCAUUCAUGUUUCCCUCAAAUGGUGAGUACGUUUAUGUCAUUGGGCCAAUUCAUACCAGCAGAGCAGUUUGAAUUUUACCAGUGACAUUUUGACAGCUGAAGCCUACAUUUUCAAUUUACUGGGUUCUGUAUCUCUCCUGUUUACUGCUACUUCACAAGAGAAUGAAAUUUUAUAAAUACCUAGUAAUUUAGUUUGAAUAAGGAGCUAGAAUAUUAACAAAGGAGUGCUUUUUUAAGGUUUGGCAUUCAGAUAUAAAACAGAUGUUUAUUGUGCUUUUUAAGCAUCCAGGAGAUCUUGUCAAAAGUGUCUGGCAUGUACAGUUAUUUUUAUGUUACAUGGAAGUGUAUAUUAUUCUUCAUUUUCAUGUAUUAACUCAUGUAUAUUAUUUCAUAAAUGAAUUUGGCUUUCUUAUUAUGAAAUAAUACUUUUGGUAAUUAUCUACGCUCUGCAUAUAAAUGUGCUCUACAAAGGUGUUUGGAUUAAAGAUGUCUGGCUACAGCUUUAUUAGACAAACUGCUAAUUAAUCUCAAAUAUUAUCUAGCAUGCCAAAGGCAUUCCUUUUGUAGACAUUGUGAGUUUAUCUAUGGAAUCUCUUCAUCAGUCACUUGGGCUUUCUUACCUCUAGUAUGCCAAACCUGUUUUAAUUGUUUCCCCAUACAGAGCAUAGGGUGUAAUAAUGCAACUGCAACCGAGAACUGAAGUCUUGCAGCUUACAUUGGCGAAUCACAUUAGCUGUCUGGAUGGGUCCUAUUGUCCUCAUCUUGUGGUAUGCAGAUCUCACCUUUAAAGCUGCAUCUAAGAAAAACAAAACAAGAUUGCCUUGUUAAUGACCAUUUUUUUCUUGUGAUAUCAAUCCUUUCCAAGUAUCAAUCUUAAAAGAACCUUCUUUGUUAAAAAGGUAAAGCUCCAGGAGUAGCAGCCAUUCCCACCAAAAUGUUCCUAAUAGAUUCUGCAGUCCACCAGUUCCUGAGGUCUUGUCUCAGCAAUUCUGAAUAAGGACUGACAAAAACAAGAGGGCUUAAUGCUUAAAAUUUCUCGGAAGACAGAGUUUAUAGCUGGGCUAAUCAUUUUGCAUGCUAGUCACAAUCUUAGUCAAAUUUUGCCCUCAUUUAUGUUAGUUUGGAUCUAGGGCAUGACUGUUAAUAAUUUUGACUUCAAUAAUGAAUGAGCAAAUAAAAUUCUGAAUUUUGACCUAUUUUACUUUAUGACACCAUUUUUUUCUCUUUAAUCUUACCUGUUUUGUCUUAAUAUAGAUCUUCUCUCUCUUUUUUUUUUUUUUUAUCAUCCAGCUAGUCCUCUGUGCAGCUCCUUUCUCCUCUUUUUCAGUUUUUGUUUUCCUCAGACCUUUUCCCUCAUUCUUCUAAUGAAAAUGGUCUUAGCCAAAAGUAGUUGAAAAGGUGUUUUUCCUGGACUAAGAACGAGUUUACAUAUGAGAGACAGAAUACUUCUCUCUGUGUAUUCUGAUUCCAAAGUAAAAAAUUCUAAUUAUAGAGUGGUUAAUUAAGCAAAAGGAACAAUUAUAAAUGAGCCUAAAUUUAGAAUUAUGAGUUUGAAGUCAAAGACCACUGAAGACCAUGAGAAUACUUCCAUUGACUUCAAAAGGAUCUGAAGCACACUGUCUUACCUUUCUGUUUAGCACAACUUUAGGUUAGGGCUACUUUAACAACCUAAUGAAACUCCCUUGAAGGUUAAGCCAGCCUUUAUUUUCAAAGGGAAGCUUGACAAAUUUUGCCAGACUCUGAAGCUUUUAAUUGAAACACUGGGAAAUUUCAAAGUGACAACUACUUUAGGACUUCUUUUAUUUCUAUUUUUCUUCUUGGGCAGAUCAAGUAAAAGAAAAAAGAAUAUUUUUGCAAGCUUUUAUUUUAUUCACAUACCCAUCCAAACUCCUUUCACAGACAGAAAAAAAUAUAUAUAUUACUUUGACCGCCUUCCUAUCUUAUGCAGAAACAAAGUUAUCUUGUUCUUAGUGUAAUAACAUCUGCUAUCUUUAAAAAAAUGAUUACCAGUUAUAUUUUCCCUGUGAUUAUUUUGCUUAGCAGAAAUGUAUACAGGAAUACCUUUAAAAGACUUCAAAAUCAGUCUGUAAUUACAAUAUUUUAAGCUAAUUUGUUGAAAAAUUUUUUGCUCUGAUUUGCUAUAGAGUUUUCAGGCCUAGGUAUGAUCCACUUUUGACUCAUUUGCUGUACCACAUGUAUGGCGGAGUUUGCUGCUUGCAAGAAAUACCUAAUUUUUAUUUUAUUUUAUUUUUGGGCUUUGUGCUCCAGAGACGUCAGAAUUUUUCAAUGCUUCACAGGGAAUGGACAUUGUGAAAAAAUACUGGCUUGAAGCAAUACGAUAUUAUACUGCCAAAGCACAAUUGACAGAGGUGCUGCCUGUUUUCUUCUCUACCAUAAACAGAUUUCCUCUCCAGAGUUAUGUCUGUGUGUGUGUUGUGUGUGUGCAUGCUAUUCUUUAAAAAUCUGUGGUAGGGCACCUAAGAAAUAAUGGGGAUUUUUAUCCUUCUGCUUCUUCUUCCUUCAGCAAUCAGCAUGAGAUGGUGGUCCACGUCUUUGAACUUUGUUGUAAGAUGUGUAUAUGAAUCUCAUAUAUGGAAAUAUAUAUAAAUGUAAAAUUUCUAUGCAGUAAAAAGUAUUGGUGUUUAUAUACAUAUAGUUACGUAUAUUUUUACCUAUUUUCUAGCUUUGAUCAGGCUUUAAAAACACUGUCUUUGUUUAUACUCUCUUCAUCCUAUGUGCCGAUUCACUAUUUUCUUAAAUCCAGAAGCAAAACUGUGAGUUGUUUUCUCAUCCCAGUUUACAGCAUUUGGCAAAAUGUAGGUUUCUUCUCCAGAAAAACUGCACAAAAAUUCAGUGCUUUGCCAGAAUCUCUAAAGUGCCUGUUAAAUACUUAACAAAAGACUUGUUUUGACAAAGGAAUAUCACCCUUAAUUGUCAAAUUUGUUCCAAAAAAAAAAAAAAAAGCAAAAAACCUGGGAGAAGAUGACUGGGAGAAGAUGACUAUUUUCAGUCAGCAGUCAGGCCUUUGAAAACUUAAUUGUGGGCAGUUAGAGCUAAAUGCUGCAUUUUUGUCUUAUCAGUCACCAUUUCAUGGAUUUUAUUGUUUUCCAGAGUUGCUAGCUUUCAGUACUUUAAACGUAAUUUUUGACAUGUGGGGAAGAUGGACGUGACAGCACAGUGUUUGGAAAGAGAACUGCUGAGCUGAUUUCCUCAUGGUGUGUGCUGGCAUACCUCUUUUCAUACUCUUCCGCAAUGCCUUCAGACGAUUGUCUCAGUUAAGCUUUGUGACUUUUGGCAUGAAUUUUACCAGCUCCAAGAAGGAAGAGAAUGUUGCACAUUUUCUCUAAGCCAAGUCAGGAGGAGAAAGAAGAGGAAAAAGACUGCCUUCAAUCUUUCUGCUGGAGCUGAUGCUAUAUACUUUCUUGUGGAAAAAAGUUGUGUGAAAAAAUAAUCUGUAAGUGUGAAUGGCACGAAAAUGGAAUUAUCCAUCAAAUGGAGGGAGUGAUUCCUCCAAGUCAGGUAUGUAAGUUUGGGUGGCAAAAGCAAAUGGCUUCAUAAUUUUGAGGAAUUUCUCUCCCUCUCCUUCUCCCAUGACUGAAGAUCAUUUAUCCUUUGAGAAAGAAAAAGAAGGCUGGUAUAAAUUAAGAAUGGUAAUGUAAAAGCUUAUACCCACUGCAUAUAAAUCUUUCAAAUUAAUACAAGCAUUAAAUUGCCAAAGUUUUUUCCAUAUACUGCAAAUAUUAAACAUGACAUGCCUGCUAGGGUUGGUAUAAAGUUUUGUCAACAUUUUUGGCAUACAGUUUCUCAGCCUGGGGUCAAUAUUUUCUUGACCAAAUCUUGUUGUUUCAGUUGUCUUUUACCUCAUAUAUUGUAACGCAAACAUUUCCCAGAAAAAAGAAAUUUGGCAGGCUAUUAGUCCAUAAUGUGGUCUAAUGCCUUUGGGUAUUUUUUUAAACGUAAAUCAUUGAGAUAUUUAAGGUUUGAGGUUUAAGAACUGUACACAAACUUUAACAACUUCUUUUAAAAAUAUUUAGUAUGCAUAUUUACUACAUAUGUAUCUUAUAUAGACUAGAGAUUAAACUGGAGAUUACUUGCUAAAAUAUGCAAACUGCUGUCCAUGAAUAAACAUCCUCAUGAACUCCUAUUGAAAGUUUCUUAUUUAAAAAAUGUUGUUUAAAACUACAAUGAAAGCAAAGGGAAGUAAGAUGGGAAGAGGAAAAAAGCAAUGUUUAAGUAACUUUAAUGAUUUAACUUGGCUACAGAAAGUAAAGAAGUUCAUUUUCUUUCUCCUGGGAUCUCAUCCAAAGCCCACUAUGGUCAAAAGAAGGCUUUCCACCUAUUCUCAUUUGUGCUACACUCAGACAGUGCUCUGUUGCUCAAGUAUUGAGCUAUGCUGAUGUCAUGUAGCAGAAGAUCCCGCAGCACAGCAGCCCACCUAUCUGCCAUGUGUAUUACAUAGGUUUCAAGGUAAGUUACUUGAGGCAAAGGACCUCUCCUCUGGAUCAUCCUUCCUGUAUCUGCAAAGUUCAGUGAGUUUUCCACUUUUGCCUUGAUAUAUCUGUGUCUACCAGUUAUUCAUUAUAACUCUCACUUAAAGAGGAAAAUUUUAGAAUCCUGCAAAUGUACAAAUGUCUCACCAUGUAUGUGCACGUGACAGUUCUAGGUAUCACAUAGCAUCCACCAGCCUGAGAGUUAUCUCAUUUAUAACGUCAUUUCAACUUUCACUGUAACAUAAGUCCAGGAAUACAUUUUGUAGUUUCUUUUAGGUAUGAAUGACAGGAUUUGUGUAAUCAAUGAACUCUGGCACAAUAACAUGCAAUAUUCUUUAGAAUGCAAUUCCUGCAGCUUGUAGACAAUCUGUUCCUUAUGGUGAUUUCUGGGAGCUUGUAAACUCUCACUAAGAUGCUGGCAACAUCCACCAAGCGUCUCAGACACUUUGUCUUUCUGAACCUGAACUUUUUAAAUAGUGGUUAAACAUGUUGUCUGCUUUAGUUUCCUGUCUAUCUUCAUCAUAAGUCAGCACCUGUUUCCAAUAAAUUAUAUGCAGAGCUGUAUCAGCAACACCUUGGCAGCAGCUGCCACCCUGAAAAGCAGAAUGCCCUUGAGGACAAUACACCUGUGAACACAUAAAGUGUUUAUUUAACUGAAAGCCAAAACUUUAAGUUACAUAAAGCAAUUAUCCAAAGCCUAAUAUAUGCUCAUUAUUAACACAAAAUAACCUUGUUCUUAAAAAAAAAAAUGAUAAUCUAUUUAAAGGAUUUUUUUCCAAAACCCAGGGAAAUGGACUGGCACUGUGAAUCUGCUAUUAGCCUAGGACUUGAAAGUCUGAUGGUGGGAAGACGUGUGGGGGAGGCUGCCUGUGCAGAGUAACAAAGUAUUAGGGCACAGAUUUGGCAUGCAUUAUACACAGAGAUGAGAGAAAGAGCCAAGUCAUUUUCAGAGAGGCUGUUGAACAACACAUUUUUUCUUUUUGGUUCUGCAUUAUAAAGUAGCAUUUUGUUGCUGAAGCAUAGAACUACUGUGUUUAAGAUGGUGUUUGAUCUUACCAUCACUGUGAGGCAGAAGGAAAAAAUGGUCCUGGGAAAAAGGUCUUCCUAUUACUAGAGCAAACCUUUCAUAUCUAGUUUACUACCAGCGCUGCCCUUUUAUGUAACAGUGAGCCUAUUUUAGCAGCAGUAAGUAAAGAUAGUUGUUUUCAGCAGAUCACAGGAUAAUGCAAACAAAAAGAAAGCUAAUGAUUAAAAUAGAAUAGAAAUUGAGAUAAGCUCUCUAGUUUUGGUAAAGCAAGAAAUAACACAAGGAACUCUGUAGUUCAAGUAAUUUGUAAAUUUUCAUUUCUGUAUGGAUACUUCUAAAAUUAUUUGGCAAAUCAAUCUUGGAAAUCACAUAAAUGGAAAGAUAUUUUCUAAUUAAUGUUUCCAAAAUUAACACUGAACAUGAAAAUAUAUGUGUGCAUAUAUGUAUAUAUUUCUGUAUAAAUGCUCAUAAAAUGGUCACAUUUUUAACUCACAUUUUACAAUACAUUAAUUCCCUGUCUGAUGCUUUCUUAUGCCAUUUAAGUGAAAUACUUUCAGAUGAGAACAUAUUUUAAUACUUGUGUUUGGUGAGACCAGAAAGUUGUGGAAGGAUUUCUUAAGGAGUAUCACAGCUUUCUUAGGUGUCACUUUCUUAAACGCUUACAAUGCUGAAUGCAAAUAUAUGUAGAGUGAUGCCAGCAUGUAAAUAUUCUCCCAUCAAUUAUUUUGUACAGUUAGAUCCAGUGGGUUACUCUAUGUGCAAAAUAAAACUCUGAGAGAAUAACAUUAGCAUAACUCCAUGAUACAUGCCUUCUCUUUCAAACAGGAUUCCACACGUAGAUAAUGGAAGUAACUUAUUUUGUUUCAUAUUUUAUUAUCAGAUAGUUCAAAGUUUAACAUAGCAAUAUUUUUUCCAGUUGAGUUUUUUAAAACUGCUCUAUUUUCAUCUCUGAAUGAGCAUGGUACGUUUUAGAGAUCCAAGCUAAAACAUAUGGAUUAAGUCAAUGAAUCCAUUUCUAAAUCUCCAAUUAACUGUUCUGAUUACUCAUGCAAAUCUAUAUUUUUGCCAGGAUUUUUUUAUGUCUUUAAUACAUAGGCCAUUCCAGAAGUCAUAUCUCCUAUUUAUUUCCAUGGAUGUUACAACAGAUACAAUAACACUCAACAAGAUACUAUUUUUUAGCAUAGUCACUACAUAGUUUUGCAUUUUUACCAGAAACAUUCAGCAAGCGUUGACGUAUGUCAAUUGGCGCCAUUUUUUCCUCAUGGAGGAAUUCACUUCCAGCCCUUUGCUUCAGACACACCUCCUUCUCAGACGCCAUUUUGUCAGACUGCCUCUCUGCUGUCAUCUGUCACACAGCAACAGUGUGUAACAAUAUUGGUGGGAAGUUCCGCCUCCGCUGCCAUCCCACUUAUAUCAGCCUCUGAUGCCAUGGGCCAACAUCAUAAAAUAGGAGACAUUACUUUUGGAGCAGCCCUCCAAGUAAAUUUAAGAGGAGUGCAUUUUCUUCUCCUAAUGUGUAUGAUAAUAUAACAGAAUGAUUGAUGUCAUGUAUAGAUACAGACCUGCUUCGAUUUCAGUUUUCUUGGCUGUGUUUGAUUAUAAUUUGAUAUAAAUGCUGUAAGCAUCCAGCUAGGAUUCCAACUAAAAGGAAAUUCAGUGACAGCAAUAAUAACAAUAAUAAUAAAAACACUAUUUAUUUUCCCCUGGAGUGUUUAGCUUUUAUUAAAUGUCAACAAAUCUAAAGACGUGCUUUGCUAAUCUAUGUUGCGUACAGGAAGUAAGUUACAAGCACAAGUUACUGAAGAUAAUGUUUGCUUUGUUUUAGAUAGACAGGAUCCAGAGAACUGAGAUCUCUCACAAGCAUUUAAAAUCUACCGCUUGUAUUCCUUCAACAUUUGUCAGAUCUCCCACUGGUGAUCAAAGAAUGCCAAACUGAAAGCAGACCUAUAUUUGUGAUUGUUUGCUACCCUCUGCGAUAAGUUUAUCCAUCAGUUUCUUUCCUGUUGACUUUCAUGUGCGCUAUCACCCCAGGAUGUUAUAUUUGCUCAAACAGAAAAUGGAAUUACAAGCAGAAGAAGCCGCUGCAUGGAAGGUCUGCUGCUGUGCUGCCCGCUGGAGACUUGCCUUGCGGUGAGGGCUACAGACACAAAAACAGCUUGGCACUGGGAGCUCCAUCUUGCUGUGGCAUAAGCUGGCUUCCUGCUGACUCCAGAUCUGCCUUCACACAGGUUGCUCUAGAUUGAGAUGAUAGAGUGGAGGCAAGUACUGUGCACUGGACUAGAGAAGUGUGUCAGCCAUAAAGGACAGCACACAGCAGCUAUGCUUUGUCUGGCACAGCAUUUUGUAGGGUUAAAAGGGAGUGACUGGAGUGUAGGGCCAUGCCAGCCAGUUUAGUCUCACCCAAGAGGUCCCAGAUUUGGUUCAAUGUGGUGAUGAAACUGCUGAGACUUUAUAAAUCCAGACUUACUUAAGGAGGGAUUGACAGAGCAAACUAUGACUAGGUUUUGUCACAGCAACCUAUAUGUCCAGAAUGGAAGUGCUAAGCCAACACUAGGAGGAGCAUAGAGCUGUGGACCCCUGUUUGCCUUUCAACUACAACUUUCUUGCAUUGCAGUUUCUUCUACACAUCUCCGGUUUCACAUGAUAUAAUAUUUGGCCCAGUAAAUGCAAGGCUUGGGUUUGGUCUCUAGUCAGAUGGUACCCAAAAAUAAGCAUCAAAAUAUCCACCGCUUAUUAAAAAGUCAAGAAGAAGAAAGAACAGACACAAAAUACAGUUUAGUCACCAUAAAGAAACCACCACCAAAAAGGCUGGGUAUGUAUCAGAUCAUCUUUUUGCAGAACAUUUCUUCUGAGAUAUAUGAAGGUGGGAAGACAGCCACUGGUAGAAUUUCCCCUGUUGCAAUGCCUCUUUAUUAUUUCAUUAAAAUCCUUGUAAUACACAAAACAAUAAAAGAAAGCAACUUGAAAGUUCACAAUACACAAGAUUCAUCUUGCAUUCAUAGAACGUGUGUAACUCAUUUUGUGCUGAUGUUUGCUUGUUUAAGAAUGCACACCUGCUCAUUACUACUUGUGGAAAAUAAGUUUAUUAGCCAAGGAAUGUCUGGACUCUUACUGGAAAUCCCAUGUAGAUGCAGUUAUGCUUCCUGUUAAGACUCUUCUUCAGUAAAAAAUUUGCUCCCACUGUAGUAUUCCAGGGGCAAAAGAAGCAGCAAAUGAUAUGCAGGAAAGAUGCAGGUAAAAAUAUUCACAGAGAUUAAAAACGCUCCAUGCCUGAUCCUGAUGAUUCAGUGCAUCUUUCCCUGUUGAAUGUAAGUAUUCUGUUUCAUACUACAUUUAUGUCAGAUCAAAUACUCUACUCAGAAGCUGGGACUUUACUAGUGCCUCAUUUGUAUUUGUUUUUACUUUGAAUCAAAACAUAAAGGUGGUGACAGAAAAAAUUCUGAUGCUUUGCAUAGGGUUAAUAAUUGAGAGCCAUUCAGCUUUGUUAGUCAUCCAUUUGAAGGGAAUUUCCUUAUGCAAAGAGAUUGCUCCACUUAGGACAAAACCAUUUUUUUUCUUCAUCUCUGAACUCCAAAUGAGCAGGAGAGUGGAAAGAGCAAGGGAAGGCAAAGGAGCAAAGUGGGAAGCUUUGAUCGUUUCACCGAGAGGCUGAGGCAGUUUGAAAUGAAAGAAUCUCUCACCACAUUAAAAAAGGAGGGAGAAGAAGAAAGGAGAAAGGAAGAAAAAGAAGGAGAAACAGAGAGCACAGUGUGACAGAAACAAUGUGAAGCAGGAGCCCAAGCCUCACAGGAAGGGUUGUUGCCAGACUCUACAGAAGCUUUUUUGCAAAAAGUAGAGAAGGGGCAUCUUAGUUUCUUUAACAGACUCCAUAAAACCAAUGAAUUGCCAAGAGAAGCAAAGAAAUAACAGGAAGAAAAUGUAUUCAGGUGACUUUCACUUUGCCUUGCUCGUUGCAUCUUUUGUGCAAUCUAGAUGAUAAAAUAAUUGAGUCUAAUCAGCCUGCAGCUAUAGAAAAGCUUGUGUCAAAGCUAUCAGGCAAGCUGCAAGAGGAACACUCCCCCAAAGUCUUAAGGGGUAGGCCUGAGAGAUCCUAUUUCACAGUGGAGAGCCAUACCCUGGGUGUGUGAGGGCUUUGCAGCCCACUUGGUUCAGGGUGAACUUAACAGAAAAGGCAUCAAACAGAAACUGGUUCAAAACUCAUGUGGAGCAGGUCUGCUAAUGCUGUGUCUCCAUUUUGAAAUGAGCAGAAAAUUAAUAACUAUAAUCUGUGGAUGUAAUUUUGUCAUUACCAGUUUGACUGGUACUUUAUUCCAGCCCAACUAAAUGAAUAGGACUUCCUGCUGGUCAAAGUGCUACUACACUUGAGUCAGGAUCUACUACCCUUAUUGCAGCCUGAUUUUCUUCGCUUUAAUCUUUUAAGUUAUAAUGCCUACAACACCUGCUAGUAAGCACCCUGUUGGCAGGCCAACAAAUAGAGGUGGGUAUACCAGAAAGCAAGUCUAUCUGUGCCUGGACUGUUGACAGAGAUCCUAAUGGACUAUGAGUACACAACCCAAACACACUAAUAUGUGAGCAUUUUUCCUGGCAGUAUGUAUUUAAACAUGAAAAAUCUGUGAUUUGCUGAUGGCCAAUAAAACAGGAAACCUGAACCCUUCUUAAUUUGCAGAAAGAUUAUUCUUUGCAAAAUAAUUAUUACUACAUAUGUGAUGAUUAGUAUGCUUUUAUUUUUGCUAGAAUAGGCAUAGCAUAAUGGAAACCUCUACUGUGAUAAUUUCUGUUUAAAGAACUGCAGCAUGUAAGUUAUUAUAAACAGUGUAUUAAUUCAAUGCCUGAAUAACUAUCAUCUUUUUUUCCCCCCAACAGCAGUCACUAUUCAGACAUUUGAAUGAUAGAAACCACACCUAUCCACUGUAAUUUAUUUCAGUGAUUUUCAACAAGAUGUUCU
Molecule: long non-coding RNA, 10842 nt
Organism: Gallus gallus (chicken)
Lineage: Eukaryota; Metazoa; Chordata; Aves; Galliformes; Phasianidae
Source: Ensembl